AAGAUAAAAGCGAAAACAAAUAUACGAUUCCCUCUCUCUUCUAUUUCUUUCAUUCUUUUUGCUCAUCCUUCCUUUUCACUUUGACUAAAGCCCAUAAUGUGUAACACUUAUUACGAAGGAGGAGCCCAAGGGCUGCAUCUACGACAUGGAA
RNAcentral lists this non-coding RNA (151 nucleotides) under Fragilariopsis kerguelensis. The record is from RNAcentral. Lineage: Eukaryota; Bacillariophyta; Bacillariophyceae; Bacillariales; Bacillariaceae.